RNAcentral lists this ribosomal RNA (229 nucleotides) under uncultured bacterium. Its description in RNAcentral is "partial 16S ribosomal RNA". It matches the Rfam family "Bacterial small subunit ribosomal RNA", at positions 568 to 796 of the family's 1533-position model. The record is from RNAcentral.
UGCGUAGGCGGACUAGUAAGUCAGUGGUGAAAUCUCUCGGCUCAACCGGGACACUGCCAUUGAUACUGUUAGUCUUGAGUUCGGUUGAGGUAGGCGGAAUGUGUAAUGUAGCGGUGAAAUGCUUAGAUAUUACACAGAACACCAAUUGCGUAGGCAGCUUACUAGACCGACACUGACGCUGAGGCACGAAAGCGUGGGUAGCGAACAGGAUUAGAUACCCUGGUAGUCC